GGAGAGGUGGCAGAGUGGUUGAAUGCGGCGGUCUCGAAAACCGCUAAGGCGGCAACGUCUUCGAGGGUUCAAAUCCCUCCCUCUCCG
Molecule: transfer RNA, 87 nt
Filed under: Lusitaniella coriacea LEGE 07167
Lineage: Bacteria; Bacillati; Cyanobacteriota; Cyanophyceae; Spirulinales; Lusitaniellaceae
Also listed under: 1 other name
Description: tRNA-Ser
Rfam family: tRNA
About the family: Transfer RNA (tRNA) molecules are approximately 80 nucleotides in length.
Source: RNAcentral